UUGGUCUUUACUGACAGAGAAAGAGCAAUCCAAGAGAUGCGUCGACAUGGUCUUCCUACACCACCCCUUAGCUCUACUCUGAAGUCUCCUUCAAGUUCUCCUGAACAUAUAAAUAUAUAAUUAUCAGAAAGAAUAAUGGCUUUCAAUGAGUUCCUAUAUGGAUUUUUAAAAGAACAGAACAGUAGUGAAAUAUUUGAAGUACUUGUUCCUGAAAAUCAUGAACAUUGAUACAAAUUCUACCUCUGUCAAUUUUUAUUUAAAUCAGUGAAUAUUUAUGUGAAAAAGUUUGGUUUAAAAGAACUUUAUGUGUAUAUUUUUAUAUAUAUGACAGAACAAAAUAUGUAUUAAUAGUGCUUAACUGAUGUUAUCUUCAUAUUUUUAUUAUUCCUGACUUAAGUCCUCAAAGUGUGUUUAUACUGUGAAUUAAUAUAAUGUAUUGUUCACAUUAUGCUUUAAUAAUCUAUUUCUUAAUGAGCCAUGAAAUAUGUGUGUAAAUAUUCUUACAGUACUUGUUUUUAAAGUUUUUUUAGUUUUCAUGCCUGUAUUUAUAACCUAUAUCGUUUUGUAAUCACAAAGACUUAUCAACUUUGAUAUUUUGCUGUCAUGCUUAACUUUUUUCUUCAGAAUGUAAAAUUAAUUAUUCACAGAUUUGCUCUCUGUCAUUGAAGGGAAUAUAUUCAGGACUAGUCUUAUAAUAUCAGAACUCUUGAUAAAAUAAUGAUUAUCAUAUAUAAUUUGUUAUUGCCAAUUAGAAGAACUAUGAUGGGAAAGACAUUUAUAUACAAUAUUAUAUUAUUUUGGCUGUCACAUGAACUCUUCACAUAAUACAGAUUCUUUCAAAAUCAACUAAAAUCUAUAGAGUUUUGUAAAACAAUAGAACAGAAAUUUGGGACUUUUCAGUAAAUAAAAUCAGUAUAUUAAUCUAAAAUUUCAGAGUGUAGAAGUAUAUGGGGUUAAAAUAGUAAAACAUUGUUAAAAUUCCAAUAUACAUUAAAUAAUAUCAGUUUUUUGCUUCUAAACCUGUAUGUUGUAAUUUACCACUCUUCCAGAAUAAUAUGUAAACACUGAACUAUGGCAUGUAAAUUGAAAACCACUUUUUACAAUUAAUUUUCAAAGUUGUAAUUUUAAGGAAUUUAGGUGUAUACAUGUAUUAAUAAAAGAACAGAAGUGCAAAGUAGAAUGUCAGAUACAAAAAUCAUAUUUGAAUUGUACAAAUUUGAAGAAAAUCCUGUUCCUAAUAGAUUUCAUUAUGAUUGAAAAAGAACUCAAAAAACUAACAUAGGAAAGUGAAAGACCAAUUAGUUUCCUCUUGUGGUUUAAUAAAGUGGAGUGUGUGUGUGUGUGUGUGUGUGUGUGUGUGUGUGUACCUGGGGGAGGGCAGUGCUCUUUUUCUAAAACUAAUUUGCCAUAUAUGUUCAGGUUAUGUCCUUUGCAACAAUUCAGUGUGUAUUUGGGUGUGGGGUGGCUUACUUUUCCACCAUCUUUGUAAUUUUAUGUUUCCCAUCUCCUUUGUGUGAAUUUGUGUUAUAUAGCAAAACACAAGAGAAGUGGGACUACUUGCUAUGUCAUGUGGAAACUUUUAAUAAAUAUAUGUAAAUAAAAAAUAUUUGUCCCUACCUUUUCCCUCAAAGUAACAGCAAGACAUAUUUUCUUAGAUACUUUGUAUUUAAUGUUUUCUAUAUUUAAAAAAUGUAUAACUUGCCAUAAUUGUUAUUUUCAGAACCAUGAUACUAAAAUUUUUUUAACAAUUAGUUUUAUCUAAAAUAAUGUUCUGACCUUACAUAGAUGUUUUUAACUUUGUUUUAAAUAAAUUUAAAUUGCGAAGCUUGACAUAGAUUUGGCAAUAAACUUUCCAGUCAAUUUUUUUUCCUUAAAAA
Long non-coding RNA from Galeopterus variegatus (Sunda flying lemur), 1877 nucleotides. RefSeq lists it as uncharacterized. The transcript is spliced from 2 exons. NCBI's taxonomy places the organism in Eukaryota, Metazoa, Chordata, Mammalia, Dermoptera, Cynocephalidae. The record is from RefSeq and is a predicted model, not a curated record.